This 253-nucleotide ribosomal RNA is filed under the name uncultured bacterium. Its description in RNAcentral is "partial 16S ribosomal RNA". It matches the Rfam family "Bacterial small subunit ribosomal RNA", at positions 524 to 776 of the family's 1533-position model. The record is from RNAcentral.
UACGUAGGGUGCGAGCGUUAAUCGGAAUUACUGGGCGUAAAGCGUGCGCAGGCGGUUGUGUAAGUCAGAUGUGAAAUCCCCGGGCUCAACCUGGGAACUGCAUUUGAGACUGCACGGCUAGAGUGUAGCAGAGGGGGGUAGAAUUCCACGUGUAGCAGUGAAAUGCGUAGAGAUGUGGAGGAAUACCGAUGGCGAAGGCAGCCCCCUGGGCUAUUACUGACGCUCAUGCACGAAAGCGUGGGGAGCAAACAGG